RNAcentral lists this ribosomal RNA (73 nucleotides) under Candidatus Peregrinibacteria bacterium. Its description in RNAcentral is "partial 23S ribosomal RNA". Lineage: Bacteria; Candidatus Peregrinibacteriota. The record is from RNAcentral.
CUCUUGAUUUCAGCGGACUAGAAAAUCCUCGAAGCGAGAAAUGCACGUUACCGUACCGCAAACCAACACUGGU